This 250-nucleotide long non-coding RNA is filed under the name Capsicum annuum. RNAcentral's name for it is "long non-coding RNA (CANN_LNC004520)". The record is from RNAcentral. Lineage: Eukaryota; Viridiplantae; Streptophyta; Magnoliopsida; Solanales; Solanaceae.
GAAAGUCAGUUGUUGUAUUUUGAUAAAUAAUUACUAAUUCGGAAGAUGGUGAAGACAAUGAAUGAGAGUUUUUUAUUUUAUCAAAAUGACAGAGUGAGGGGUUAGCAUAAGCAGCGGCGAUGGGUAUCGGUUAUUGAUGCUGAUGUCAUUGGAGGAGGAGUGUCAUUCAAUGGAGGAGAAGAAGAGGAGCAAGGAGGGUAGGGGCAGGGACGGAGGUAGGGAGUUAGGUGGGGGGUUUCGGGAACCUAGU